GACGAACGCUGGCGGCGUGCUUAACACAUGCAAGUCGAACGGAAAGGCCCUGCUUUUGUGGGGUGCUCGAGUGGCGAACGGGUGAGUAACACGUGAGUAACCUGCCCUUGACUUUGGGAUAACUUCAGGAAACUGGGGCUAAUACCGGAUAGGAGCUCCUGCUGCAUGGUGGGGGUUGGAAAGUUUCGGCGGUUGGGGAUGGACUCGCGGCUUAUCAGCUUGUUGGUGGGGUAGUGGCUUACCAAGGCUUUGACGGGUAGCCGGCCUGAGAGGGUGACCGGCCAAAUGGGGAAUGAGAUACGGCCAAGACCCCUACGGGGGGCAGGGGGGGGGAAUUUGGCACAAGGGGCGGAGGCCGGAUGCAGAAACGCCGCGGGGGGGAUGACGGCCUUGGGGUUGUAAACCGCUUUCGCCUGUGACGAAGGGUGGGGGAGGGUAAUGGGGAAAGAAGCACCGGCUAACUACGU
This 467-nucleotide ribosomal RNA is filed under the name uncultured bacterium. Its description in RNAcentral is "partial 16S ribosomal RNA". It matches the Rfam family "Bacterial small subunit ribosomal RNA", at positions 28 to 506 of the family's 1533-position model. The record is from RNAcentral.